This 468-nucleotide ribosomal RNA is filed under the name uncultured bacterium. RNAcentral's name for it is "partial 16S ribosomal RNA". It matches the Rfam family "Bacterial small subunit ribosomal RNA", at positions 28 to 507 of the family's 1533-position model. The record is from RNAcentral.
GACGAACGCUGGCGGCGUGCUUAACACAUGCAAGUCGAACGGUGAUGCUCCAGCUUGCUGGAGUGGAUCAGCGGCGAACGGGUGAGUAACACGUGAGCAACCUGCCCCAGACUCUGGAAUAAGCGCUGGAAACGGCGUCUAAUACUGGAUACGAAACUGGCCCGCAUGGGCAUGGUUUGGAAAGUUUUUCGGGUUGGGAUGGGCUCGCGGCCUAUCAGCUUGUUGGUGAGGUAAUGGCUCACCAAGGCGACGACGGGUAGCCGGCCUGAGAGGGCGACCGGCCACACUGGGACUGAGACACGGCCCAGACUCCUACGGGAGGCAGCAGUGGGGAAUAUUGCACAAUGGGCGAAAGCCUGAUGCAGCGACGCCGCGUGAGGGAUGACGGCCUUCGGGUUGUAAACCUCUUUCAGCAGGGAAGAAGCGAAAGUGACGGUACCUGCAGAAGAAGCACCGGCUAACUACGUG